AGAACAGAAAGCUGAAAUCAAAACCAGCAAUUACGAAAACAACGGCGAGGCAAGAAGCCCACGAUAACUCAGAUCGAGCUAGCAUUUAGUGCUGGAUCGUAUCGUGAUUCUGAAGGUAUUUACAAACAAUCAUGAUUCUGAUAUUCAAUCAUUGUAAUUCUCACUUCGUAAGCUCUGAAAUUUGUUUCCUGUUUUCUUUUUUUUUUUCCUGAAAGGGAACUGGGUGAGAAUACAGUAUUCGAGAAAUUGGAUCAUGAUAAUAAUUUCGAAGGAAAACUUGAGAAGAAGCUUACGAAAGAUCGGAGAAAUCUUGUCUGAGUUUUGUUCCUACAGUUAGUUUAUUUCUCUCAAAAAUCGUCUUCUUGCUAUUAUAGUUUGAGUUAGCAAUAAUCCCCUUCCUAAUGAC
Molecule: long non-coding RNA, 406 nt
Filed under: Eutrema salsugineum
Lineage: Eukaryota; Viridiplantae; Streptophyta; Magnoliopsida; Brassicales; Brassicaceae
Description: long non-coding RNA (ESAL_LNC000371)
Source: RNAcentral